RNAcentral lists this small nuclear RNA (165 nucleotides) under Cervus elaphus hippelaphus. It matches the Rfam family "U1 spliceosomal RNA". Rfam says of the family: U1 is a small nuclear RNA (snRNA) component of the spliceosome (involved in pre-mRNA splicing). Its 5' end forms complementary base pairs with the 5' splice junction, thus defining the 5' donor site of an intron. There are significant differences in sequence and secondary structure between metazoan and yeast U1 snRNAs, the latter being much longer (568 nucleotides as compared to 164 nucleotides in human). The record is from RNAcentral. Lineage: Eukaryota; Metazoa; Chordata; Mammalia; Artiodactyla; Cervidae.
AUACUUACCUGGCAGGGGAGAUAGCAUGAUCACGAAGGUGGUUUUCCCAGGGCGAGGCUUAUCCAUUGCACUCUGGAUGUGCUGACCCCUGCGAUUUCCCCAAAUGUGGGAAACUCGACUGCAUAAUUUGUGGUAGUGGGGGACUGCGUUCGCACUUUCCCCUGG